Long non-coding RNA from Bradysia coprophila, 148 nucleotides. The record is from RefSeq and is a predicted model, not a curated record. Lineage: Eukaryota; Metazoa; Arthropoda; Insecta; Diptera; Sciaridae.
AACGUAAAUAAAUAAAACGGAGUGACUAUUCGACCGCGCGGCCAAAUUGCCAGUUCUUCUUUAGUAGACUAUUCGCCCGCGCGGUCGAAUAGCCAGUUCUUCUUUAGUAAACUAUUUGACCGCGCGGUCGAAUAGCCAGUUCUUCCUU